AGCAGCCGCGGUAAUUCCAGCUCCAAUAGCGUAUAUUAAAGUUGUUGCAGUUAAAAAGCUCGUAGUUGAAUUUCGGGAUCAAUAUGUUGGUCGUGCCUCGGUACGUACUAGCUUAUUGGUUUCUCCUUUCUGAAGAACCAUGAUGUCAUUUAUUUGGUGUCGUGGGGAAUCAGGACUGUUACUUUGAAAAAUUAGAGUGUUUAAAGCAGGCUCACGCUUGAAUACAUUAGCAUGGAAUAAUGAAAUAGGACGUUUGAUUCUAUUUUGUUGGUUUCUAGGAUCGAUGUAAUGAUUAAUAGGGAUAGUUGGGGGCAUUAGUAUUCAAUUGUCAGAGGUGAAAUUCUUGGAUUUAUUGAAGACUAACUACUGCGAAAGCAUUUGCCAAGGAUGUUUUCAUUAAUCAAGAACGAAAGUUAGGGGAUCGAAGACGAUCAGAUACCGUCGUAGUCUUAACCAUAAACUAUGCCGACUAGGGAUCGGAUGAUGUUAAUUUUUAAUGACUCAUUCGCGUACCG
RNAcentral lists this unclassified non-coding RNA (515 nucleotides) under uncultured Glomus. RNAcentral describes it as "SSU rRNA". It matches the Rfam family "Eukaryotic small subunit ribosomal RNA", at positions 569 to 1088 of the family's 1831-position model. Lineage: Eukaryota; Fungi; Glomeromycota; Glomeromycetes; Glomerales; Glomeraceae. The record is from RNAcentral.